This 442-nucleotide ribosomal RNA is filed under the name uncultured bacterium. RNAcentral's name for it is "partial 16S ribosomal RNA". It matches the Rfam family "Bacterial small subunit ribosomal RNA", at positions 338 to 795 of the family's 1533-position model. The record is from RNAcentral.
CCUACGGGAGGCAGCAGUAGGGACUCUUUCACAAUGGGCGAAAGCCUGAUGGAGCAACGCCGCGUGCAGGAUGAAGGCCUUCGGGUUGUAAACUGCUUUUAUAAGCGAGAAAUAUGAUGGUAACUUAUGAAUAAGGAUCGGCUAACUACGUGCCAGCAGCCGCGGUCAUACGUAGGAUCCGAGCAUUAUCCGGAGUGACUGGGUGUAAAGAGUUGCGUAGGUGGCAUAAUAAGUAGCUAGUGAAAUCUGGUGGCUCAACCAUUCAGACUAUUAGCUAAACUGUUAAGCUCGAGACCGUUAGGGGUAACUGGAAUUUCUAGUGUAGGAGUGAAAUCCGUAGAUAUUAGAAGGAACACCAAUAGCGUAGGCAGGUUGCUGGGACGGUUCUGACACUAAGGCACGAAAGCGUAGGGAGCAAACGGGAUUAGAUACCCGAGUAGUC